CCUACGGGAGGCAGCAGUAAGGAAUAUUGGUCAAUGGACGGAAGUCUGAACCAGCCAUGCCGCGUGCAGGAUGACGGCCCUCUGGGUUGUAAACUGCUUUUAUAGGGGACGAAAAAAGGGGAUUCUUCCUCACUUGACGGUACCCUAGGAAUAAGCACCGGCUAACUCCGUGCCAGCAGCCGCGGUAAUACGGAGGGUGCAAGCGUUAUCCGGAUUUACUGGGUUUAAAGGGUGCGUAGGUGGGUCGGUAAGUCAGCGGUGAAAUCUUCGAGCUUAACUCGGAAACUGCCAUUGAUACUAUCGAUCUUGAAUCGUCUAGAGGUAAGCGGAAUAUGUCAUGUAGCGGUGAAAUGCUUAGAUAUGACAUAGAACACCAAUUGCGAAGGCAGCUUACUAUGGAUGUAUUGACACUGAGGCACGAAAGCGUGGGGAUCAAACAGGAUUAGAUACCCUGGUAGUCCACGACCUAACG
Molecule: ribosomal RNA, 472 nt
Filed under: uncultured bacterium
Lineage: Bacteria
Description: bacterial SSU rRNA
Rfam family: Bacterial small subunit ribosomal RNA
Source: RNAcentral